UAAAGGAGGUAGGGGUGCGGAGACAGCCAGGAGGUUUACCUAGAAGCAGCCACCCUUGAAAGAGUGUGUAAUAGCUCACUGAUCGAGCGCUCUUGCGCCGAAGAUGAACGGGGAUAAGCGAUCUGCCGAAGCUGUGGGGUAUAAAAAUACAUCAGUAGGGGAGCGUUCCGCCUUAGAGGGAAGCCUCUGCGCGAGCGGUGGUGGACGAAGCGGAAGCGAGAAUGUCGGCUUGAGUAACGCAAACAGUGGUGAGAAUCCAAUGCCCCCAAAACCUAAGGGUUCCUCCGCAAGGUUCGUCCAUGGAGGGUGAGUCAGGGCCUAAGAUCAGGCCGAAAGGCAUAGUCGAUAGACAACAGGUGAAUAUUCUUGUACUACCCCUUGUUGGUCCCGAGGGACGGAGGAGGCUAGGUUAGCCGAAAGAUGGUUAUCGGUUCAAGAACGUAAGGUGUCCCUGCCCUUUUUUCAGGGUAAGAAGGAGUAGAGAAAAUGUCUCGAGCCAAUAUUCAAAUACCAGGCUCUACGACGCUGAAGUAACCCAUGCCAUACUCCCAGGAAAAGCUCAAACGACUUUGAGCAAGAGGGUACCUGUACCCGAAAUCGACACAGGUGGGUAGAUAGAGAAUACCUAGGGGCACGAGACAACUCUCUCUAAGGAACUCGGCAAAAUAGCCUCGUAACUUUGGGAGAAGGGGUGCCUCUUCACAUCACAAAGGGGGUCGCAGUGACCAGGCCCGGGCGACUGUUUACCAAAAACACAGGUCUCCACAAAGUCGUAAGACCAUGUAUGGGGGCUGACGCCUGCCCAAUGCCGGAAGGUCAAGAAAGUUGGUAACCUGAUGACAGGGGAGCCGGCGACCGAAUCCCCGGUGAACGGCGGCCGUAACUAUAAUGGUCCUAAGGUAGCAAAAUUCCUUGUCGGGUAAGUUCCAACCCACACGAAAGGCGUAACGAUCUGGGUACUAUCUCGGAGAGAGGCUCGGUGAAAUAGACAUGUCUGUGAAGAUGCGGACUACCUACACCUGGACAAAAAGACCCUAUGAAGCUUCACUGUUCCUUGGGAUUGGCUUUGGACCUUUGCUGCGUAGCUUAGGUGGAAGGCGAAGAAGGCCUCCUUUCGGGGGGGCCCGAGCCAUCAGUGAGAUACCACUCUGGAAGGGCUAGAAUUCUAACCUUAUGUCAGGACCUACGGGCCAAGGGACAGUCUCAGGUAGACAAUUUCUAUGGGGCGUAGUCCUCCCAAAAGGUAACGGAGGCAUGCAAAGGUUUCCUCAGGCCAGACGGAGAUUGGCCCUCGAGUUCAAAGGCAGAAGGGAGCUUGACUGCAAGAUUCACCCGUCGAGAAGGGACGAAAGUUGGCCUUAGUGAUCCGACGGUGCCGAGUGGAAGGGCCGUCCCUCAACGGAUAAAAGUUACUCUAGGGAUAACAGGCUGAUCUUCCCCAAGAUCUCACAUCGAUGAGAAGGUUUGGCACCUCGAUGUCGGCUCUUCGCCACCUGGGGCUGUAGUAUGUUCCAAGGGUUGGGCUAUUUGCCCAUUAAAGCGGUACGUGAGCUGGUUUUAGAACGUCGUGAGACAGUUCGGUCCAUAUCCGGUGUGGGCGUUAGAGCAUUGAGAGAACCUUUCCCUAGUAUGAGAGGACCGGGAAGGACGCACCUUUGGUGUACCAGUUAUCGUGCCUACGGUAAACACUGGGUAGCCAAGUGCGGAGCGGAUAAUUUCUGAA
RNAcentral lists this ribosomal RNA (1723 nucleotides) under Capsicum annuum. Its description in RNAcentral is "bacterial LSU rRNA". It matches the Rfam family "Bacterial large subunit ribosomal RNA", at positions 1067 to 2775 of the family's 2925-position model. The record is from RNAcentral. Lineage: Eukaryota; Viridiplantae; Streptophyta; Magnoliopsida; Solanales; Solanaceae.